GAAAACAGGAAGCAGCAGCUCUUUAGGACCCUGGCUGCUUGCUGCUGCAACUUCUGCCUGCCCCUGGCUCACCCUGAAGCUACAGCUGUGAGGAGGCUUUUGGCUUUCUUCUCUCCACUGUGCAGGUAAUACAAGCGUGUUAAACAUCUCUUCAUCGAUUGGCAGGGUGUUGUGGAGACUAGCUUCUGACACACAACUCACAAGGCAAAUAAUCAUCUAGGUUCUAGGACAUGUUCUAGGACAUGGACUGGUCUGAGGAGGACAUCUGGAAUCCAGGGGAGGAGCCCAGUAGUCUGAUGAGGAGUGAUGGCUGAGGAUGCUGGGAAGAGGUCAAGUGAUCUGCCUAUUAACAGCCCCCCCCCCCAAGGUGUCAGCCUACAUGAAUGAAGGGGCUGAAUUGUCAAUCCAUUCCGUCUCCUCCUCUUACCCUGCUUCCAGCAGUUGUUCUACCUUCCAGCCAGCCUCUUGUUGUUGACCCACCUCCAGUGCAGGAGAGGCUGCCGGAGAUGAAGAUCUGACCAGGUCAUCAACAUCUCUGUCACCGUGGAUGCACCAGAGACUGAGCAGGCAUGAACAGACCAAGCCUGUUAACCAGCUUUCUCAUGGGAGAGCUGAUUGGUUUGCCCUGUCCUGAGCUGGGAGAUGAAUGCCAUGCAAGUAGUCAUGCCCACCCCAUCCUUCUCAAGGGGGACUCGAGGGCAUGUCAAGUGUUGUGACAACAUCUUCACUUGUUUAGCUAAGCUGAGUAGUGCCUUGUCCUGAUCUUAACUCUGUGUGAACUGUAAUCUGAUCGAUGUUCUAAUUAUGUGCUAAACUGUGGAUUAAAGCCAUUGGCAAUAAUUGA
Molecule: long non-coding RNA, 844 nt
Organism: Rhineura floridana
Lineage: Eukaryota; Metazoa; Chordata; Lepidosauria; Squamata; Rhineuridae
Exons: 3
Source: RefSeq, a predicted model, not a curated record